AAACAAAGACGCCACAAAGUCCACAUAGUCUUGUAUAUAUAUAUGGACAACAAUUGGAUAACAAAAAGGGAACAUUAUAUAAGUAGUUUAUUAUCUGGAUUCCGUUUUCAGCUGGUAUCGUAUCACGUUUUUUAAGUCCUUAAGAUAAUAAAGUGGAAGGACUAGUCAACAGCUGCAUUCAUCAGACUAUUCAAUAGCCACCUUCAUAUGUUAGUCAAACUUUGGUCCAAAUCACCUAUUUGUUUUUAUCCCAAUAUUAUAGUCUAUAAAUACUAAUCACCCAAAGUUCACAAGACUCAGGCUUCCAACUCUUAUAAAUAAGAGAGACAAAGAGAUACUACAUACUAAUGCCAAGUUCAUCGAAGCUCCUUGCGGUGAUGAUUUUCUCAUUCAUGGCGCUUUUCAUAAUAUCCCAGGCUCGAACCCUUUCUCCUGGUAGGAAAUUAACUCAGUACCCGGCUCCGUCGUACGGAUACACUCCUGUUCCACCUUAUUGUUUCAACCGACCUGGUUGUCGCCCAUGAGAGUUUCAAUUUGGGUCACAUGAACUAUUAUCAAAUAAAAUAAGGUGAUGUAUUAUAUAUAAUGGGUUAUGGGUAUCUUCGUAUAUUAUCAUGAUUUUCUGGGGAAUAAAAUGCUUGUGAGAUCCAUGUUAUAAAUACAGUAUGUUGCAGUUUGUAAUGGAUAAGUGAUAUUUAUGUUUCUUUUGUAUGGUCAUCAUGAUGUCUCUGUUUAAUGAACAAAAGUUACCAUAAUUUUUUGUUAUCGACCCCUCAAAGCUAGUUACUGAGAUCCUCUCAGUCACACCAGUUCGCCCUAGUUUCUCUCCUUGACACGACUAUCGAGGAGCCGCAGCCGUCAACGUUUUCCGACGCCAGCGGCACUGUAGCUCGCCGGCGUCGCCUCUGUCCUUCUCUACUCAGAGCUUCCUCGUUCACUUGCUUCAUUUUAGUCUCUUCUGCUCCUGUGUUCAAAACCUUGCUCCCUGUUAUGGCUUCUCUUCUAUCUCUAUCUGAGGUUCUUUGUUUGAAACCAAUCAUUGGUCUCUUCGUUGAGAAGUCCCAGCAGGCUGACUCGUGUGAUUCUUCGUUUCCAUGUGACCUCUUGCCGUUCUUGUGCUUUAGAUCGACGAGCUACGGAUCUGUUUUUGAUUGGGUUUUCGUGCGGAUCUGUUUGGGCCUGAUCCGAAGAGUCUAUCAUCAAAGUUUCUCGAGCCGUUGCGACUUAAUAGGCAAAUGUUCUACUCCACUGUCCCCAUACAGGCUGUACCGUCGACGACUUUGCGUGUAGUCCUACUCUGGCAGUCUCCCCGCAUCUCACUCCAACGCCAUCCAAUUUCAGCAUUUCCCGACUCUGUCAGUUGCAAUCCUUCAGGCAAAGUUCUUCUUUGGGCUACAGCCUACAUGCAUGGAGUAUUCUCUUAAACCAUCGUCGUUAUUAAUGUGAGUAACCAUUUUCUUAAUUAUUUUGUGGUCGUCAUAUUCAAUAAAAUAGACUCUUCUUGAUUAUCAAUUGGGAGCACUAUUUUGGUCCUCGUUAAGACAACAUUUUAUCAACUCCUUGCAAGUUGGUAGAAAAGGCAGAAAAGAGAAAUAAUCCUAACUAUCACAAAAUCAAAAGUUUUGCUCAAAAAUUAGCAUACAAUUAAAAACAUUACCACAAUAGCACUAAUGAAAUAUUAAAAAUACAUUUUUGUUAUUUUUUUUGGUUUAGAUUUAUGAUUAUAGUUUUGGAUAUAGUAUUUAGGAGGUUGGAUUAAGGUUAGAGUUUAAAUAUAAGAUACUUUUGUAUUUUUAUUGAUUAAUAAAUGUUAUUUUAGGAAAUUUGGUCUUUGAAUACUAGUUUGUUACAAAAACUGAAAAUGAUAUUUAAGAAAUUUGCCCCAAAAAGAAAGAAAAAUCAAAUUUUCUAAAUUACUUUUACAACCGAAAGGUAACAGUAUCUAAAUGACAAAAUUUAAGAACAAUACUAAAUUAGAUAUCUAAUAGAUGUUAUUUUGACAAUUUUCUUUUAAAUUGUUCAAGUUUUUGGAUGAACUUAAUUUUUAAUAGAUGUUUCUUAAAAUAUCUCAAAUUUAAGUAAAAAUUAGUAACUUUUAGUAAAACAAUUGAAAAACAUUGAAGGUAUAUGACUAUUAAUGUUUUUACUUAUCGUUUCAAUUAUAUCACUAAUUUAAAAAUUGUCUGAAUCUGCAUUUAAAAACUUAUGUAGUUCAUCAGUGAUUACAUUUCAUGAAAACUUUGUGUCUUGGUCAAUUCUUCUUAAGACCACGAUACUCACUCAAGACUACCGAGCAAAGGAAGUCAUGCGAAAGCAAACAGAAAUAUCUAAGCCAGGUGGCUUUUGUAAAGCUACUAGUAGGGUAUGGAGUGACAAAAACGAUUUGUUAUACCUAUUAUCAACUUAUAAAUUUUGUAGAUAAGUCAGAAUAUAUUGUAAGGUUGAUACUCCAUAGUUGGGACCGUGUAGAGAGGUUUGAUGUUUGAUAGCAGCAAUGUUAUCUCCAACGUCCAUGCAUGUCACUAUCAGUUUUCGAUAUGUGGUUUCUUUUUUUUUAUGGAACUUUAAUUUUCAUUAAACCGAUAUUAACCGGUCAUCAUUGACAAAGAGCAAAAGGAUAAUUUUGCUACCGGGUGAAAUCAAACAAAAUCUAUUUACUUAACCUUUUCCAAAUACAGUAAAACCUCUAUAAAUUAAUAAUGUUGGAAUUUUGAAAUUUUAUUAAUUUAUAGAGAUAUUAAUUUAUAGAAGUUUUCUUAUUUAGAUUUCUCAUUUUAAGAUAUAUUUAUUUUAAGAUAAAAAAGUAUUUGAUUUUAGUGUAUAGACAUUCAUUAUUAUAUUUUAAAAUUUGGCAUUUAUAUUAAUUUUAUAAUAUUAUUUAGUGUAUAUAAUAUAUAUUGCAUAGAACUUAAAUGUGGUUUUAGAUAUAAUAUUAUUAAAUCUCAUCAAAAAUAUAUUAAGAGUUAAAAAAAUAUAAAAUAACUUCAUUGUGAAUAUAAAUAAACAAUAUAAUAAUAGGUUUUUACUUAUAUAAAAUAUGUAUACAUAUAAAUUAUUAAUUUAUAAUUUUAAUGAGACCAUAUAUUUACAUAGAAUUUUCUAAAAACUCGAUUUGUUUCAAAUUUAGAACAUGCCCAAAUUGGGACCGGCGAAAUUUAUUAAUUUAUAGAGAUUAUUAAUUUAUCGAGUAUUAAUUUGUAGAGGUUCUACUGUACGAGCAUAAUUAAGAUAAAUAUAGAAGCUGAUUUAUCAAUAUUAUUACCAAAUAUCAUAGGUUUAUGUGUUACAAAAAAAGCAUAGGUUUUAUAUAAGGAAACUUGAAUCACAAUAUGCUGAAUAGAAAUUCUGAUCCGAUGAGCCCGCCAAAAAAAAAAAGAGACCCAAAGCAUCAAAAAUAAUUCUAAACUUGCCAACAAAGAACAAGCUUAAAGUUAAAAAGAAAAGAAACAAGUGACAACAAUUUUAACACCAGGAUACAAAGCCCUUCUAAUUAAAUCUACCGGGAAAACCUGGAUGAUGUAGAGAUUAGCAAAUCAGAAGUGGUCUGACUAUGACACACCAAAGGUGCCUCCACGAAGCUUCAAACGGAGGAGGUUGGCAUUCAUGCCCCGGAACACUAAACUAAGAAGAUUCCAACCAAAACAAUCCAAGAGCUAAAACGGGAGAAAACUUAGAUUUAAGUUCGUGGAUAACAAGAAAAAGGGAUAUUAUAUUAUAUAUGUAGUUUAUUAGUUUCCGUUUAGGUCAGUUGGAAUUAUAUCACGUUUUAAGUCCUUGAGAUAAUGUAGUGGAAGGACUAUUCGAUAGCUACAUUCAUCAGACUAGUCAAACUUUGGUCCAAAUUACUUAUUUGUUGUCACCCCCAACAAAAUUUACUAGGCCGGGAAUGUGGAAACUAUUAACAGAAUCUUUGGUUUUCCAUUGAAUUAGAUAACUUAGAUUUAAGGUUAAGUUGUGUUUUUAGUCAGAAUUUUUUUAGUAAUACAAUGGUCAAUGGUUAAUGGUUAAGGCUCUGAGCGUACGAAGAGGAACCCUUCACGAUAAGGAAAGCCAGAAGGGUAUAACUGUAAAUUAAUAAAACUAUUUUCUUAAAUCUCAAUAUUGCUGUCUAUCUUUAUAUAUAAAAGAGACUUUCAAUCGCUCCUGGUGAUGCCAACAAGGACGACACGUCAGAAAUUUGGGUGACGUCGAGGCGACACAUGUCCCACUUCCAAAAACGCAUCACUUCAUUUGAGUAAGAUUCAUUUAAGUAAGAAUCAAUUGGUGCGAGUUUUUAAUGUAUUGUGGGCUUUAUGUUUGAAUGAUUAAACCAGUUGGCCGGCCCGAUUGAACCAACCCUAUUCUCUUACGCGAAGAGUAAAACUUUACGGCUCUUUGUUUGAUAACGACGUCUGAGCUUCAUCCUCAUCGCCGAAACGCUUCCAGUUACAAAAUCUUUGCAUCAAACCCCUGGCUUCAAUGCAAAUUUUCUGUGUGACGAUAAAAAGAUUAGCCUUUCUCCUCUGAAACCCAUCUUCUCAGUCCGUCAAAAAAAAACGCAGUAAACUUAUAUUCUGAAAACGAAGUCAUCCAUCUUUCUCUCUGAUUCGAAGAUCGCACGCUGCUCCUCCACCGAUUGAGAAGCUGAAGUCGAUGACAAAGAGUGGAACUUGAAUUGAGAUUUGUCGAUUUUCUCAAAUAAUUGCAAAGAACCACCUUCAGGAAGCGAUCAGACUACUCCGUCUCCGCCAUGGUAUCCUCGCCGGUUCAUCAUACGGAUUGUCUGUGAGCACGAGUACUCGAUUUUGAAGACAUAAAAGGUUCUUCUAUGAGUUUCUCAUAUUUCUUAAGGUCGGUUUUGGAUUAUUUGAGAAAAUUUCACUUUCUGGGUUUUUUUUUUUGGAACCCGUUGAAGAACACACUGGUUGGAGCUGAGGCUAACCACAACUUGAAUAGCCAAGUGAACUCCAUAACCGUGGGAUGUUGGGAGCUCAACACGCUCUUGACCCAUUGACCACAGUGAAGGCAUGCGUGAACAAUGCAGGUAUAGCACUGAUCCAACACGGGUGGCAUCCAAUGUCGUUCAUCACCAUCUCUGGAGAGAUUGACUCUAGGGCGAUUGAGAAGAGUUCUAAGAUCACUGGUUCUUGGUGGUCUCUCUGAGAAAUAUCAUGGCUUAUAAAACUUAUGGGUGGUUGAUGGAAUCAACGAUAUCGAUGUGGAGACAUUGCGGAUAUUGAUGGUUUGAAGAUGGAUUAAUGUGAGCUUUGAUAUGGAGCUUUUUGGAUCAAACUCUUCUGAUGAGCAGCUUACCGGAGUUAGGAUUCUUAGACAGUUUGCAGUCAAUGAAUGGUAUUCAGGUGAGACACUUGAGAAGAUCAUAAUCAACGUCCCUGUUGUUGAAAGGUUUUACAACUCAAAAUGUAUAGACUUUACAGAUAAGUGAUGACACAGUUGCUAACUUUUUUUUGUUGGUGGAGAUGCUGAACUGAAAAGAUCUGCAAAAGGAAGAGAUUAGGAGAUCAGCUGCUGAUAUACUAUCAAAACUCGCUAGCAAACAGCAGAACUCUUUAAGAGUCGCUGGGAUAUCUGGUGCAAUGGGAUCUAUUUUUUCGUUAUUAGAGAGCACGAGAUCAUCAGGUGAAGCACCUGAUGAGAUUGGAGAGAAAAGGGUUCCGUGACUCUAAUCUACACUAUGACUUCUGUAGAUUCAACAGUUUGGGACUCUUGAUCCUGAAGAAGCUAGCGAAAGAUCAUGAUAACUGUGGAAACCUCGGCAACACAAGGGGUUUUCUCCCGAGGAUUAUUGAUUUCACGCACGUGGACCAAGUUCUAUUGUGGGAUGAGAACGCAGACGUUACCAGGUCACAGGUCCUUGAACGGUCGUGCAGCUGGUGAAAAUGUUAGUCAGCACGACCGAGAACACAAGGAAGUGUCUCAGGAGGGAGAUCUCAGAGAUUGUUUUUACGGUGAGCAACGGGAGGGAUGUGCUGAGACACGGAAGCUCGAGAGAGAAUUGGUGGAACGGUGGUGUUUUGAAAGGGCUGUUCAACAUUUUCUUUAAAACAUAUGGAGACGAUGGGAAUCAGGGAUGCGUGAGGAUCGCUGCAAGAAGACUCGUGGAAGCACUUGAAGUUCGAUCGAUCCGUGUCAAUGUUGCAAGUUUAUAAUAGAAUGGCUAUUCUCAGAUGUUCCAGAUAAAAGAUGGUCAUAUCAAUAAGAAGAAGAAGAAAAAAGACAACUGACAAAUGUUUUACAAACUACAUAUGUAGCUUCGUGUAAAUGUAAUUGAAGGUUAAUAUCAUCAUCUAAGUGCUAAUCCUUUAUCAACCAUAGUUGAGAAAUAAGUAUAAGUUCUUUGAUUGCAGUACCAACAAGCUUGACUUGCAAGUAAUUGAAUUUUGUUUUAUUUCACUGAAUCCAGACUUACGAAAAUAAAAACGACGAAUAUUAGGAAUUUUAUGAAAAUUUGUAUAAAUACAUACAUAACUCCAUUACAGGAAAACUAAAAUAAUCCAUAAGAUAUCAAAAAUAUAACAACAAAAUUAUUUAAAUACAUAAAUAAUCCAUAAUACAUAAUUUCAAGAAUAAGUAUGAAAAAUUCAUAAGAACAACAAAUAGAAGAAUUCAUUUAUGAUUUUGCUAUUACGUUGUAUAUCAAACCAAGUUGAAAGAAAAUUAAAAAGAAAAAUAAUGUAUCAGAAUAAGAUAACGAGGUUGUAUUUUUGUUAAUCAAAUAAACACAAUUAAUACUAAUAAAUUAGACCAAGUAAAAUGAGAAAAUAUGAAAACAUUUGGUUGGUAGAAAUUUAAACAAACCACAUUAAUAUAAAAACAAUUGUUAAGCUGUAAAAUUAAAAAAAAAAAGAAAUAGAAUAUUGCAUCCAAAGAUAUCACUAAUACUAGAUAUAAAACUAGAUGAUCUAAAUAAAAUAAACAUAUCAAAAUAUCCACAUUGCCAAAAUAAAAAUAGCCCAUUAAAUUUUAACAUUAUAUUAUGAAAUAUAGUUAAUCGCGGCAUAAUGUAAGGUUGAAUAUUAUAACAUCAAACAAUUUUAACCAUAGUAAUUGAUAUACAUAAAAUAAUAAUUUCUAAAAUGAAUUUUAAAAUAUAUAGAUAAAAUGAUUGUAAAACAAUUAUGAACAUGGUAUUUUUUAUUAAAAUAAAUUAAAGAUUUUAAAUAAAUUUGUAUUAUUAUUUUGUUUAUUCGUCCGGCCUUAGGACGGGUUUGCCCUAGUAAAUAAUAAUCACCUAAAGUUCGCAUAACUCAGAUUCCAAGUCUUGCAAAGUAGACAUACAAAAAGAUACUAGCGAACUACAUAGUGAUGGCUAGGAUGUCAAGUACCUCGAAGCUCCUUGUGGUGAUGAUUUUCUCUUUCAUGGCGCUUUCCAUAAUCUCCCAUGCUCGAACUUUUUCUCCUGGUCGGAAAUUAACUGGUUAUCCGAUUCCGACGUACGGAGGUCCCCCGUACUCUCCUGUUCCUACGAGAUGUUUCAACCCACCUUAUUGUCGUCCAUGAGAGUUUCAGUUUGGUCACAUGAAUUAUUAUCUGAUAAAAUAAGGUUGGAUGUAUAUGGGUAUCUUCAUAUAUUUUUCAUCAUUGCUGGAGAAUAAGAUGCUUGUGUGAGACGAUGGAAAAAAAAAGAUGCUUGUGUGAAAUCCAUGUAAUAAAUAUAGCAGGUUGCUGUUUGCAAUGAAAUAAAUGAUAAUUAUGUA
This is a long non-coding RNA of Brassica napus (rape), 7697 nucleotides long. RefSeq lists it as uncharacterized. The record is from RefSeq and is a predicted model, not a curated record. The transcript has 5 exons. NCBI's taxonomy places the organism in Eukaryota, Viridiplantae, Streptophyta, Magnoliopsida, Brassicales, Brassicaceae.